AUUGAACGCUGGCGGCAGGCCUAACACAUGCAAGUCGAGCGGAUGAAGGGAGCUUGCUCCUGGAUUCAGCGGCGGACGGGUGAGUAAUGCCUAGGAAUCUGCCUGGUAGGGGGGGAUAACGUCCGGAAACGGGCGCUAAUACCGCAUACGUCCUGAGGGAGAAAGGGGGGGAUCUUCGGACCUCACGCUAUCAGAUGAGCCUAGGUCGGAUUAGCUAGUUGGUGGGGUAAAGGCCUACCAAGGCGACGAUCCGUAACUGGUCUGAGAGGAUGAUCAGUCACACUGGAACUGAGACACGGUCCAGACUCCUACGGGAGGCAGCAGUGGGGAAUAUUGGACAAUGGGCGAAAGCCUGAUCCAGCCAUGCCGCGUGUGUGAAGAAGGUCUUCGGAUUGUAAAGCACUUUAAGUUGGGAGGAAGGGCAGUAAGUUAAUACCUUGCUGUUUUGACGUUACCAACAGAAUAAGCACCGGCUAACUUCGUG
This 484-nucleotide ribosomal RNA is filed under the name uncultured bacterium. RNAcentral describes it as "partial 16S ribosomal RNA". It matches the Rfam family "Bacterial small subunit ribosomal RNA", at positions 30 to 507 of the family's 1533-position model. The record is from RNAcentral.